Oncorhynchus masou masou (cherry salmon) is the source of this 3704-nucleotide long non-coding RNA. RefSeq lists it as uncharacterized. The transcript has 4 exons. Lineage: Eukaryota; Metazoa; Chordata; Actinopteri; Salmoniformes; Salmonidae. The record is from RefSeq and is a predicted model, not a curated record.
UGCUACUGCUCUCAAUAACAUUGCUGCCCUGAAUUUAUCAGGUGCCAUCGACAAAGGUCAGUGGGAAAACGUUGUGAUGGACUACUUUCUGGACACCGAUCGUGCCAUGCUAUGCUGAAUCUCUCUCACUCUUAAAAUAACAUGUUUUGAAAUCAGUGGAACACAACCAGCCAAACAAGCUGUGCAAACUAAACGGAAACACAGGAUGUUUUAUAAAAAGGGUUUGCAGUCUGUCGUGAAGCUUUCAUCCAUGUAUACAGUGUGGCAUACGGCGGGGAGAGAUGAGGGGAGUGGUUAUUGAUGGGAGAUAUCUGGCAGCCGGUUGGCUCCACCCCCGGGCCUUAUAUGGACUUCCUGCCCCAACGAGGCAAGGCUGUGGCUUGUUAAACCAGGGGGUGCUUGGGUAUAAAGGAAGCAGCAGCCUGCACAACGGGGCAGAGUAGGAGAGAACCAAGAGUAUUAUGAAGAGUGUGACAUUACCGCCACCUGUGACAUUACCGCCACAUUACCGCCAUCUGUGACAUUACCGCCACCUGUGACAUUACCGCCACCUGUGACAUUACCGCCACCUGUGACAUUACCGCCACAUUACCGCCAUCUGUGACAUUACCGCCACCUGUGACAUUACCGCCACCUGUGACAUUACCGCCACCUGUGACAUUACCGCCACCUGUGACAUUACCGCCACCUGUGACAUUACCGCCACCUGUGACAUUACCGCCACCUGUGACAUUACCGCCAUCUGUGUACCGGACCCGAGUGUGAGGAUUACCCCUGGAGAACGGAAUGGACAAAGAGAAUGGCUUGUGGACUGAGUUGGUGAAUUCCCCCUUUCUCCUUGUACCAAAACUCCACAUUUACAUUCUAUUUGUGAUAAUGGUGGAUGUUUUGGUAUUGAACUUGGUGAUGUGGAAACCCUACACCCUUGAGCCUGCUACAACAGCAUUAAUCAGUAGAACACACCUGACUCUCCUCCACCAGUCAUCAACAAGACAGCUGGCCCAAGCAAAGGCAGCAGCGCAGUCAUCAACUGCAUGCACCAUUUCUUCACCAACUACAGAGUUGGGGAAAUACGUGUGGACCUGAAUUGUGAUAACUGCAGUGGCCAACACAAUAACAAGUUUGUGCUCUGGUAUUGUGCCUGGUGGACCAUGCACAGGCUCCACCACAGUCUGGACCUCUACUUCCUGAUCACAGGCCACACCAAGGUUGCCCCUGACUGGUGCUUCGGGCUCAUCAAGCAGUGCUUCAGAAAGACCAGAGUGAACACUGUCUGAGAUUGCUGCUGUUGUGAAGGACAGCACUGUGACAGGGGUCAACAUCCCACAGCUGGUUGGACUGGAGGAUGCUUCGAUGCUCUGGAGCCUGGUGUUGUAGUCAAGGAGGGUUCUGACUGUCGGGACCAGGUUUCAGCUGCUACACAUCAUUCCAUAGAUGGUCUGCAUGCAAAAACACCAUCUGAAUUUUACACAGCUAGACAAACGCAUGUUUUUGAGAAGAUCAGGGAGUUUUGCGAUGAAGAGGUUAUGGACAUCACAUGCCCUGCACCAAAGUCAAGGGCAGGACAGAAACAGGCUCUCUGAAUAUAGAUUCCCUUGUUCAUGCGUGUUUGGACAGACCAGUUACCAGCACUAUCUGCAGUGCCUCUAUUCACAUGACUCUCUCCUAACACACACACCAUACGUUGCUGCUAUUUGUUUGUUAUCCUGCUGCUCAGCCAUUUUACCCCUGAUUGUAUGCAAAUAACUACCUAGUCUCUCACCCAUAUCAUUAUUGUACAUGCUGUAUAUUUUAUUUAGUUUGACACCAUCUUUCUGAUAUUGCUACUAUGCAAAUAACCAUUUGGCUGUAACGUUUAACCUUCUGUAGAGACCAUCCACUUAGCAAGAUGUUGAGAUAUAUAUAUAUAUAUAUAUAUGACUAUUGAUGUGUGGUCGUAACAUCACGUAUUAAGUGUCCACCACAUGCAUCUGUUAAUGUACACCUCACUCAGGUUUCAACUCAUGUAUGGAAUACUGUGAUAAGUGCAACAGUAUAUGAAAUAUGCACUGGUGUCAAGGCAUUGGUGUAAAAAUAUGUGAAUACUACUUAAGUAGUUUGUAGUGUAUAUAUAUACAUUUUUGUCUACAUUUACUUCACUGCAUUCAUAAAGAAAAUGUACUUUUUACUUACAUUUCCCUUGACACCCAAAAGUACUUGUUACACAUUCACACUGUUCAAGAGAACAUCCCGACUGCCUCUAAUCUAGCCAACUCACUUAAACACAAAUGCUUAGUUUGUAAAUUGGGGUUUGUACAAUUUUGUUUUCUUCCCCUUUUGAAAAUAGCUGUCUGGUUUAAUAACUUUUACUGAUAUGGGAUGUGGCUGGGGGUCACAGCAUUUAUUUCACAUGACCCAUCAAUUUAGACAAGUAACAUUAACCUGGAAUUGGUCCUUAUUGACCACUGUAAUUUGUGCCUCUGAAUUAUUUAAUCAAACAGUGUGCUUAAAGCAUCAGACAAGCUCAGUGCAUAUGUAGUUGAUUUUAUUCAAACACAUAGGGUGUCUGUCGACAUACGGAAAAAUAAGUUUAAACAUUUCGACCAAUCGAUGACUCUCGGUCGACCUCCAUUUUUAUAUUUUCAGGGAACAGCCCUAAGUCAAGGCAAACAAUAUCCUUAUCCUUCCCUCCUCUCCUCCUCCCUGUAUUCUUCAUCCCCUCUCUCCUCCUCCCUGUAUUCUUCAUCCCCUGUAUUCUUCCUCUCCUCUCCUCCUCCCUGUAUCCUUCCUCACCCCUCCUCUCCUCUCCUUCUCCCUGUAUUCUUCCUCUCCCCUCUCCCUCUCCUCCUCCCUGUAUCCUUCCUCACCCCUCUCCUCUCCUUCUCCCUGUAUUCUUCCUCUCCUCCUCCCUGUAUCCUUCCUCACCCCUCUCCUCUCCUUCUCCCUGUAUUCUUCCUCUCCUCCUCCCUGUAUCCUUCCUCACCCCUCUCCUCAUUCUCCCUGUAUUCCUCCUCACCCCUCCUCCUCUCCUUCUCACUGUAUCCUUCCUCACUCCUCUCCUCCUCCCUGUAUCCUUCCUCACCCCUCCUCCUCUCCUUCUCCCUGUAUUCUUCCUCUCCCCCCUCCUCUCCUCCUGCCUGUAUCCUUCCUCACCCCUCCUUCUCCCUGUAUUCUUCCUCUCCCCUCUCCCUCUCCUCCUCCCUGUAUCCUUCCUCACCCCUCCUCUCCCCUCUCCCUCUCCUCCUCCCUGUAUUCUUCCUCACCCCUCCUCCUCUCCUUCUCACUGUAUCCUUCCUCACUCCUCUCCUCCUGCCUGUAUCCUUCCUCACCCCCUCCUCUCCUCCUGCCUGUAUCCUUCCUCACCCCCCCCUCCUCCCUCCUGCCUGUAUCCUUCCUCAGCCCCCUCCUCUCCUCCUGCCUGUAUCCUUCCUCACCCCUCCUCCCCUCCUGCCUGUAUCCUUCCUCACCCCUCCUGCCCUCCUGCCUGUAUCCUUCCUCACCCCUCCUGCCUGUAUCCUUCCUCACCCCUCCUGCCUGUAUCCUUCCUCACCCCUCCUGCCUGUAUCCUUCCUCACCCCUCCUGCCUGUAUCCUUCCUCACCCCUCCUGCCUGUAUCCUUCCUCACCCCUCCUGCCUGUAUCCUUCCUCACCCCUCCUCUCAUUCUCCCUGUAUCCUUCCUCACCCCUCUUCUACUCUCCUCACUCUCAUCCCUCUCACCUGUGUU